AUUUCUUUCUGCAGACAUCCCCUCUAUGGCUGCUGAAAACAGCCCUCUGCUAUUCGGGAUUUGCUUACUGAUGCCUUUAUCAGGCUUUCAAUACCUUCAGCCCUUCCUAGGGUCUGAUUGUCUCACCUGUAUUCCCCCUCCUCGGUUAUAUCCGGGCACGAAUUACGUGCACUGCUUGGGAUGCAACAAGUAAUGGCUGCCUGGAGGAAUUCACCUCUUGCUACAGAAGCGUCCAGACAUGAAAUUGCACCAGAUUACAGAAAAAGAGUGCUGACCCAAGAAUCCCAUGUGGUUGAGUCAGGCUGCUCCAGUAGGGAUGGGGAGUAAUUGAUGUACCGGAGAUGAUGACCUUUGCUGGGCUGAGACUGCAUCUCUCUGUUAUUCCUUCCUUUUUUUUUUUUUCUUGAAGUCCUAUCUGCAUGCGGUUUGUUUUCAUCCAGCCCGAGAUGGAUGGUGCAUGGAUUUAAUGAGGUCGUGUUUUCCCACCAGUUCCAUUUGUAGCCAUUUAAUGUUCAGCUCUGAGUAGUAGAUUGAGUUAAAGGCUAUUUAAAAGUCUAUGAUGCAGACAA
Cygnus olor (mute swan) is the source of this 569-nucleotide long non-coding RNA. RefSeq lists it as uncharacterized. NCBI's taxonomy places the organism in Eukaryota, Metazoa, Chordata, Aves, Anseriformes, Anatidae. The transcript has 2 exons. The record is from RefSeq and is a predicted model, not a curated record.